ACCGGGAGGCUGCGGGGUGAGCACUCCGGCGCCGCCCGCGCCUUCCUCCCCCGCGCCAGAGCGCGGCCCCGGCCCGCCAGGCUCCCGAAGCCUUCCUGGUUCGCUCUGUUCCUAAAACUCCGUUGUCAAUGCAAACCCCAGGCCUCCCCUUCCAUGGGUAAAAUAACCCACACAAGCAGAGGCGGGAGACUUACUGUUUCUGCAGGGGCCGCCUCCGCUUCCGGCCCGCGUACGUGCACUCCCCCGGCGGGAUCAUCGUCCUCGGCCUGGAAGACACGGGGCACCCGGUCACCGGAAAGCGCCACAUGCGCCCUGGUCCCGCCGCGACGCCCCGGGCCCCUCAGCGCGGUCCGGGAGCCCCACACCCACGACCCCGCGAGGCCCCCACGCCUCCUCCUCGUGGGACCCCCUGGCCCGGGACUUCGGCUCUCCAGCACCCCGCACUGAGAACGCACCGGGGCUGGGUCACGCCUGGGCCUCCCUUCGGUGGCAGGCGGGUCCCGGCCUCCCCCAGAGAAGCGGCCCGCUCUGGAGCCUGGCUCAGGGCGCCAUGGCGGGAGACGUCCUGAGGAGGAAGCCAUCGAGGAAGCCACGCACGGGCGGGGCGCGGCCAAGGCCUGGGCAGCCUGCAGCCUCGAAACACUCAUCACGCAGGUCCCGUGUUCCCGUUACCCCCGAGAAGAUAUUUGGGGUCCCGUGUUCCCGUCACCCCCAAGAAGAAUCUUGAUUUUCCUUGCAAUGGGUGCAGCUGAGCCCUCACAAAUGUCCUGCAGACCUGUGUGCAGUAACCAUCGUAUGCCAGGCUCUGGGCCAAAAGCCUUGGGGAGGAAGUUAAGGAGCCCUCACCUGACCUGAAGUGAGUGCAGCCUGGAAGAGGACGCAGACUCACACAAUAUCCACCUGGUGGGAAAGUGCCAUAAAAAUGUCAAAAAUGUGUCAUGGAUCCACUUUGACUAUAAAGACUUAGGUAGAUAAAGUAAAUGGAUAGAAAAAGAUACACCAUGCAAACAUUAAUCAAAUGAAGCAGCUGCAUGAGUCCCAGACAAAGGAGACUUCAGAACAAGGAAUAUCACCAGAAACAAAAAGGUAUGUUCUAUAAUAGUAAAGGCAUCAAUUUUCCAAGGAGAUCUGACAAUCCUAAAGGUAAAUGUACCUAGCAAUGGAGCUUCAAAACACAUGAAGCAAAAACUAAUAAAACCAAAAAGGACAAUUCAUGGCAGACAUUAACAUUUCUAUCUCAGUAAUCAAUAGAACAAGUAAAUAAAAUCAGUAAGGAUAUCCAACAACAACAGACUUGAAUUAAUGGAAAUCUAUAAAACACUCCAUUCAACAACAGAAGAGUAUCUGGUUUUUGCACAUGUAACAUUCACCAAGGUAGACCAUAUUUCUGGGACUUAAAGCUAUCCUUAA
This is a long non-coding RNA of Chlorocebus sabaeus (green monkey), 1410 nucleotides long. RefSeq lists it as uncharacterized. The record is from RefSeq and is a predicted model, not a curated record. NCBI's taxonomy places the organism in Eukaryota, Metazoa, Chordata, Mammalia, Primates, Cercopithecidae.